CCACAGAAGUUGAGGAGGGCUCAGUAGAGGUGUGGAAGCUGUAUGCUGUAUGGGGAGCUGCUGCACUCGUUCCUGCUCUGUUUCUCUUCAUUCUUACUGCCAUUCUGUGCAUUAAGAGGAAGAGAGCAGCUGAGAGAGAUGCAGACAUUCAGUGUGUUUCAACGUCUGGAGAUAACACAUACAUAGCACUAAACCACAUGACCAUGUCUCCGGAUUAUGACACUCUGCAAGUA
Long non-coding RNA from Clarias gariepinus (North African catfish), 233 nucleotides. RefSeq lists it as uncharacterized. The transcript is spliced from 3 exons. NCBI's taxonomy places the organism in Eukaryota, Metazoa, Chordata, Actinopteri, Siluriformes, Clariidae. The record is from RefSeq and is a predicted model, not a curated record.